CUGCACUGCUUAAUGACCAGCUGGUCUUUUGCUGACCUCCUUGGUCUCAUUCCAGUGCAAGAUAAAUUCCUUCUAGCAGAAGGGCCAGGCUGUCAAAUUGUGGUCUGUCCCUUUCGAAAGCUGGGCACAAAC
This 132-nucleotide small nucleolar RNA is filed under the name Falco tinnunculus (common kestrel). The record is from RNAcentral. Lineage: Eukaryota; Metazoa; Chordata; Aves; Falconiformes; Falconidae.